CAACUCCCAACAUUCCAGGAAGUUACCCAGUCUUUGAGCAGACAUGAACGACAACAUCUACUUCACUCACCAUCAUUUAACAGUAAAACAAGAAACUUGUAAGAGUUUCUAAUGGAAGGGCAGGAUUUAUAAGCUACCACUAAUACGGAAAUUCUCUAUGAGAAUAUGAAAAAAUGUGUGUUUAUAUUCAUUGGUGUGUAUACUCAGCCUUCUGAUAUCAGAAUGAGUUUGAAUCUUCUUCAUCUAAAGUUGAGAUGGACGACGGUUUGAUGUGACUGGAGACGUAACAAGGCCACCUCUCUCACGGCGCCAACACCUGCCUGCAUUUGUGUAUCAGGACUCAGUGACUCAGGAUAUUGUUGAGAGAAUUGAAGUCCCAGAAUUUUAACGGUUUCUACACUCCGUAGAUCAGCAGCAGAACCAACCUUUACAGCACUGAUUGCUUCGUACAGGACACAGGUGUCUUUAAGCAAGUCUUUAGAUGACUGGAAGCAGUUACUGUCCUAGAAGACUGACAAGUCCAGCUUUGUUGACGAACCACUGGGGCUACUACCAGGCAUUUAGCGCCCACCUCUGAGUCAUGGUGACGUGGGCUCGGGUGUUUGGAAACCACUUCCUACCCUCAACUGCCCGCUAAGCCCAAGUCACUGACUUCUGACUGGACUUUCCAUACGGUUACCUCACAGCGAUACAUCGACCUGUUGUGUGAGCCGAGUUAACAGGAGGACGGACUGGAAGAGGAAAGAACACGAAAGCAAGUUCUGGGUCUGAAGAAUUCAGAAGAUUCAGGCUGCAGAAGAUAUUUCCCGUGGCAGUACACUUUCAGCGCUUGCCUGCUCUUGAGAAGUUCCAGGUUUUACCUGGAAGCCCUGACCUGGAACUCUCACAAGGCAAGGGGCCCCAAGAUGUCUGCAUGCCUGAAUACAGAAAGAAAAACAGGCAUGAAUGUGGCAAGGGAAUGUAAGCUGCCAUGUUGGACGAGGAGGAGAUCUUGGAUGAGAGCCAUGGUGUGGUGAGAGAAGAAUGAUUCUGAGAGCUUGGAGCUUCAUGUCCCCAACCUGCCACAAGAACCAAGAUCAUGUGCAUCUGUGACAAAAAAUCUUCAUAAAGACAUGACUGUGACUCUCCUUCCUGCUCUGGGCUACACACAUGUGGAGCUGUGGAUUAUGUGUUGGCUGGAUAAUAGGAUUUCAUGAGUCUGUAUUUAUCUCCUGUUGUCCUGUUGUUGCUUUGAUUUUCAGGUGGACUCUGUUUGUUCAAAGCCUUCUUGGCAUCGCCCACCUUAAGAUUAUUCAGAGGUAGGCACGGACCUCCAUUUUACCAUUAUUCCGUGUGCUGCCUCUGCCCAGCCAUGCAUUCAUCACAACAACUAUUGCUAGAUAGUUCAGAAUAUUUAAGCCUAAAUAUCUUACAAACUCUUGUUUCCAGCCAACCUCUUCACCCAUUGACUGCCCAUGAUUUCUUUAUCAUUUUUUAAAAUGUUGUAGAUAAUAAACUCCAACAGAUCACCA
This 1511-nucleotide small RNA is filed under the name Rattus norvegicus (Norway rat). RNAcentral's name for it is "uncharacterized LOC102547506". Lineage: Eukaryota; Metazoa; Chordata; Mammalia; Rodentia; Muridae. The record is from RNAcentral.